RNAcentral lists this ribosomal RNA (423 nucleotides) under uncultured bacterium. RNAcentral describes it as "bacterial SSU rRNA". It matches the Rfam family "Bacterial small subunit ribosomal RNA", at positions 506 to 927 of the family's 1533-position model. The record is from RNAcentral.
GGCCAGCAGCCGCGGUAAAACGUAGGUGGCAAGCGUUAUCCGGAUUUACUGGGCGUAAAGCGUGUGCAGGCGGACCGUCAAGUGGUGUAUGAAAUCGCCCGGCUCAACCGGGCGGGGUUAGGCCAGACUGACGGACUGGAGUGCGGGAGAGGGGCGUGGAAUUCCGGGUGUAGUGGUGAAAUGCGUAGAGAUCCGGAGGAACCCCAGCGGCGAAGGCGGCGCCCUGGCCCGCAACUGACGCUCAGACACGACAGCAUGGGGAGCGAACGGGAUUAGAAACCCCGGUAGUCCAUGCCGUAAACGAUGCCAACUAGGCGUCGGGGGUCUCAACCCCCUCGGUGCCGGAGCUAACGCGGGAAGUUGGCCGCCUGGGGAGUACGACCGCAAGGUUAAAACUCAAAGGAAUUGACGGGGGCCCGCACA